GAGGGMAAGYCUGGUGCCAGCAGCCGCGGUAAUUCCAGCUCCAGUAGCGUAUAUUAAAGUUGUUGCAGUUAAAAAGCUCGUAGUUGGAUUUGUGGUGUUUUUUUUUUUAUUUGCUUUUUUUGGUUUUUUGUUUUUCUCUUUUUGAGAUGAAUUGAAAACCUGGAAGCGAGGACACCAUCCUUGACAGGUUUGAAAGUGAUAUUAUAUCACCGCAAACAUUGUCAUCCUUUACUUUGAAAAAAUUGGAGUGAUUCAAGCAGGCAAGAAUUAUAAUUUUAAUUUUAAUUUAACUUUGCUUCUGCACAUGUUAGCAUGGAAUAAUGCAAGAGGACUUGGGUUUUCUCUUUCAUUGGUUUCAGGAAUCCGAGUAAUGAUUGAUAGGGACAGUUGGGGGUGCUCGUACUCGACGGCCAGAGGUGAAAUUCUUGGAUUCGUUGAAGACGAACAACUGCGAAAGCAUUCACCAAGGAUGUCUUCUUUAAUCAAGAACGAAAGUUGGGGGAUCGAAGAUGAUCAGAUACCGUCGUAGUCCCAACCAUAAACGAUGCCGACCAGGGAUCAGCGAGCGUUGACUUGGCGUUCUCCAUUUUCUCUCUUUUGAGAAUUUUGUAGAUUUUGCCAACCUCAUUAAUUUGAAACGACCUCGUUGGCACCUUGCGAGAAAUCACCAGUCUUUGGGCUCCGGGGGGAGUAUGGUCGCAAGGCUGAAACUUAAAGGAAUUGACGGAAGGGCACAACCAGCAGUGGAGCCUGCGGCUUAAAUUGACUCAACACGGGGAAACUUACCAGGUCCAGACAUCAUAAGGAUUGACAGAUUGAAGAUCUUUCUUGAUUUGAUGGUUGGUGGUGCAUGGCCGUUCUUAGUUGGUGGAGUGAUUUGUCUGGUUAAUUCCGUUAACGAACGAGACCUCAACCUGCCAAAUAGGUUGUUCCCUUGCUGUUCUUUAUGGCGAGGGUGGUUGUUUGUGUUUCUUCCUUCGUUUUACGUUUGGUGAGAAGUACACAACUAUGACUGAUUCAUUUCUGUGAAUCAUGAUCAUACAACACUUCUUGGAGGGACUAUCAGUUCGCAUCUGAUGGAGGUUUGAGGCAAUAACAGGUCUGUGAUGCCCUUCGAUGUCCUGGGCUGCACGCGCGCUACACUGAUACAUGCAUCAAGCAGUUCAAUCAUACUGGACAUAAUUUUAUGUUUAGUGACACCUUUGCUGAUAGGCAUGGGGAAUCUUUGAACUUGUAUCGUGAUGGGGAUAGAUGAUUGCAAUUAUUCAUCUUCAACGAGGAAUUCCUAGUAAACGCGGCUCAUCAAGCCGCAUUGAAUACGUCCCUGCCCUUUGUACACACCGCCCGUCGCUGCUACCGAUUGAAUGGUUCAGCAAGUUCCACAGACUGGCUCCUUUCCUUGCUUUUUACCAAGUUGGAUAGAUGAGCCGGGAAGUGGCGCAAACUUGACCAUUUAGAGGAAGCAAAAGUCGUAACAAGG
RNAcentral lists this ribosomal RNA (1480 nucleotides) under Reticulamoeba gemmipara. Its description in RNAcentral is "bacterial SSU rRNA". It matches the Rfam family "Eukaryotic small subunit ribosomal RNA", at positions 553 to 1819 of the family's 1831-position model. Lineage: Eukaryota; Cercozoa. The record is from RNAcentral.